GUGCUCGCUUCGGCAGCACAUAUACUAAAAUUGGAACGAUACAGAGAAGAUUAGCAUGGCCCCUGCGCAGUGCUAAAGUUGUCAGUUUACAUUUGUUUAUAUAAUUU
This 107-nucleotide small nuclear RNA is filed under the name Neogale vison (American mink). Lineage: Eukaryota; Metazoa; Chordata; Mammalia; Carnivora; Mustelidae. The record is from RNAcentral.